UCAGGUUUAUUCCAUUGCAAAUUCAGAAAUACAAACAUUACAAUUUUGAUUUCUCCAGCAUUUGGACAGAUUAAGCCAAACAUCCUUGCCACAAUGGCACACACCAAACAUUGACAGAUUAAGCUUGCUUGUUCCUAGACAAUGUGUCAGUUUACAAGCAACUAAGAUACAACCUGCACUUUCACUCUACUAACACAAGAAGCCGCAACCAUGAAUACAGAAGAAACUGCAACCAUGAAUACAGUAGCUCGAUCACCACGCCGCGACUCCGCCAUCUGCAGCCGCCCGCGCUGCGACGCCUUCAGACUGCAGGACAACAACGACCUGGCGUGCACCUAGCCGGCCGGGUUCCUUCGUCGAACACCUGGCGUGCAACCACCCACGGCCGCUUGGAUCACAGCGCAGAGCACCGCUCCUCACCGCAGCCAUCCGCGGCUGGCGACGUGAUUCCCUGCACGGCGCAGCCAAGGAGGCCUUGCAGGAAGCAGAGAUGAUGAGGCCAGACGUCGUUCCAGCACAUGAGUCUGGCGGCCGAGCGUCCGCCAUCUCCAGCUGUCGGGCGAGCAGCAGCCGAGCGGGCGGCGGCGGCAGCGACAUCGAAAUCACUAUGACUUCCCGCGACUCCUUGCUUGGACGGGAUGCGACUCCUACUGGACCGGGGAUUAGGGGAGGGGGUCAUUUAAAAAAAACAAAUUAUUAAUGCGGGAGGUUACAUGUAAAUUGGUCGCACCUUGGCAGCCACUGGAAUCUUAGAUCGAGUGCUCGGUAAUUUCUACCUUGGUUUGCA
RNAcentral lists this long non-coding RNA (787 nucleotides) under Sorghum bicolor (sorghum). RNAcentral describes it as "long non-coding RNA (SBIC_LNC017096)". The record is from RNAcentral. Lineage: Eukaryota; Viridiplantae; Streptophyta; Magnoliopsida; Poales; Poaceae.